This 794-nucleotide ribosomal RNA is filed under the name uncultured bacterium. Its description in RNAcentral is "bacterial SSU rRNA". It matches the Rfam family "Bacterial small subunit ribosomal RNA", at positions 8 to 796 of the family's 1533-position model. The record is from RNAcentral.
AGAGUUUGAUCCUGGCUCAGAACGAACGCUGGCGGCGUGCCUAACACAUGCAAGUCGAACGGAAUUUGAGAGCUUGCUCUUAAAUUUAGUGGCGCACGGGUGAGUAACGCGUAGAUAAUCUGCCUGAUGAUCUGGGAUAACACUUCGAAAGGAACGCUAAUACCGCAUACGUCCUACGGGAGAAAGCAGGGGACCUUCGGGCCUUGCGCUAUCAGAUGAGCCUAGGUCGGAUUAGCUAGUUGGUGAGGUAAUGGCUCACCAAGGCGACGAUCCGUAACUGGUCUGAGAGGAUGAUCAGUCACACUGGAACUGAGACACGGUCCAGACUCCUACGGGAGGCAGCAGUGGGGAAUAUUGGACAAUGGGCGAAAGCCUGAUCCAGCCAUGCCGCGUGUGUGAAGAAGGUCUUCGGAUUGUAAAGCACUUUAAGUUGGGAGGAAGGGUUGUAGAUUAAUACUCUGCAAUUUUGACGUUACCGACAGAAUAAGCACCGGCUAACUCUGUGCCAGCAGCCGCGGUAAUACAGAGGGUGCAAGCGUUAAUCGGAAUUACUGGGCGUAAAGCGCGCGUAGGUGGUUUGUUAAGUUGGAUGUGAAAUCCCCGGGCUCAACCUGGGAACUGCAUCCAAAACUGGCAAGCUAGAGUAUGGUAGAGGGUGGUGGAAUUUCCUGUGUAGCGGUGAAAUGCGUAGAUAUAGGAAGGAACACCAGUGGCGAAGGCGACCACCUGGACUGAUACUGACACUGAGGUGCGAAAGCGUGGGGAGCAAACAGGAUUAGAUACCCUGGUAGUCC